Molecule: ribosomal RNA, 427 nt
Filed under: uncultured bacterium
Lineage: Bacteria
Description: bacterial SSU rRNA
Rfam family: Bacterial small subunit ribosomal RNA
Source: RNAcentral
UGGGGAAUUUUGGGCAAUGGGCGCAAGCCUGACCCAGCAACGCCGCGUGAGGGACGAAAUCCCUUCGGGAUGUAAACCUCGAAAGUUGGGGAAGAAAUCUGCCCGGAUAAUACCCGGGCAGGAUGACGGUACCCAACGUAAGCCCCGGCUAACUACGUGCCAGCAGCCGCGGUAAUACGUAGGGGGCAAGCGUUGUUCGGAAUUACUGGGCGUAAAGGGCGCGUAGGCGGCACGGCACGUCGGGAGUGAAAGCCCGGGGCUCAACCCCGGAAUGUCUCUCGAGACUGCCGAGCUAGAGUGCGGAAGAGGCACCUGGAAUUCCCAGUGUAGCGGUGAAAUGCGUAGAUAUUGGGAAGAACACCAGAGGCGAAGGCGGGGUGCUGGGCCGACACUGACGCUGAGGCGCGAAAGCCAGGGGAGCGAACGG